AAGCCCAUGGAAAAGGCAUAGUCUUAACAAGUCUUUAUAAUGCUCCCACGUGUCAAACAAGGAUUCCUUAUCUUCUUGCCUAAAAUUGUUGAUCUCAUUCCUAACUU
Small nucleolar RNA from Lathyrus oleraceus (garden pea), 107 nucleotides. NCBI's taxonomy places the organism in Eukaryota, Viridiplantae, Streptophyta, Magnoliopsida, Fabales, Fabaceae. The record is from RefSeq and is a predicted model, not a curated record.